ACGCUCGACACCUACGGAGGCAGCAGUAGGGAAUCUUCCACAAUGGACGCAAGUCUGAUGGAGCAACGCCGCGUGAGUGAAGAAGGUCUUCGGAUCGUAAAACUCUGUUGUUAGAGAAGAACACGAGUGAGAGUAACUGUUCAUUCGAUGACGGUAUCUAACCAGCAAGUCACGGCUAACUACGUGGCAGCAGCCGCGGUAAUCUGAGCGGGCUGGCAAGGC
Molecule: ribosomal RNA, 222 nt
Filed under: uncultured bacterium
Lineage: Bacteria
Description: partial 16S ribosomal RNA
Rfam family: Bacterial small subunit ribosomal RNA
Source: RNAcentral